RNAcentral lists this ribosomal RNA (635 nucleotides) under Penicillium biourgeianum. RNAcentral describes it as "eukaryotic LSU rRNA". It matches the Rfam family "Eukaryotic large subunit ribosomal RNA", at positions 1 to 649 of the family's 3401-position model. The record is from RNAcentral. Lineage: Eukaryota; Fungi; Ascomycota; Eurotiomycetes; Eurotiales; Aspergillaceae.
UGACCUCGGAUCAGGUAGGGAUACCCGCUGAACUUAAGCAUAUCAAUAAGCGGAGGAAAAGAAACCAACAGGGAUUGCCCCAGUAACGGCGAGUGAAGCGGCAAGAGCUCAAAUUUGAAAGCUGGCUCCUUCGGGGUCCGCAUUGUAAUUUGCAGAGGAUGCUUCGGGAGCGGUCCCCAUCUAAGUGCCCUGGAACGGGACGUCAUAGAGGGUGAGAAUCCCGUAUGGGAUGGGGUGUCCGCGCCCGUGUGAAGCUCCUUCGACGAGUCGAGUUGUUUGGGAAUGCAGCUCUAAAUGGGUGGUAAAUUUCAUCUAAAGCUAAAUAUUGGCCGGAGACCGAUAGCGCACAAGUAGAGUGAUCGAAAGAUGAAAAGCACUUUGAAAAGAGAGUUAAAAAGCACGUGAAAUUGUUGAAAGGGAAGCGCUUGCGACCAGACUCGCUCGCGGGGUUCAGCCGGCAUUCGUGCCGGUGUACUUCCCCGCGAGCGGGCCAACGUCGGUUUGGGCGGUCAGUCAAAGGCCCCUGGAAGGUAACGCCCCCUCGGGGGCGUCUUAUAGCCAGGGGUGCAAUGUGGCCUGCCUGGACCGAGGAACGCGCUUCGGCUCGGACGUUGGCAUAAUGGUCGUAAGCGACC